RNAcentral lists this ribosomal RNA (479 nucleotides) under uncultured bacterium. Its description in RNAcentral is "partial 16S ribosomal RNA". It matches the Rfam family "Bacterial small subunit ribosomal RNA", at positions 28 to 507 of the family's 1533-position model. The record is from RNAcentral.
GAUGAACGCUGGCGGCGUGCUUAACACAUGCAAGUCGAGCGAGAAGUUUUGAAAAGAUUCUUCGGAUGAAAUUUAAAAUGGAAAGCGGCGGACGGGUGAGUAACGCGUAGGCAACCUGCCCCAUACAAAGGGAUAGCAUUUGGAAACGAAUAUUAAUACCUUAUGAAACUUAACUAGUGCAUGCUAGGUAGGUCAAAGAUUUAUCGGUAUGGGAUGGGCCUGCGUCUGAUUAGCUAGUUGGUGAGGUAACGGCUCACCAAGGCGACGAUCAGUAGCCGACCUGAGAGGGUGAACGGCCACAUUGGAACUGAGACACGGUCCAAACUCCUACGGGAGGCAGCAGUGGGGAAUAUUGCACAAUGGGGGAAACCCUGAUGCAGCAACGCCGCGUGAACGAGGAAGGCCUUUGGGUCGUAAAGUUCUGUUCUAGGGGAGGAAAACUGACAGUAACCGAGGAGAAAGCCCCGGCUAACUCCGUG